AAAACACGAGGAUGGUUUUUUAUUUUUAUGAAAAAGAAGGCAUUUAUUUCGUUCGAACUGAAAUGCAAAGUACAAAUGGUAUAGAUAAUAUAGUGGUAAUAAUGUAAUAAUUAAUCGUUAAUAAAUAUUCAAUUCAAUUAAUAAUACAGUGUGUUACCAGUAUACUGUGGAAUAUUAUAUAUACGGUAAUUGUACUACACGGGAUGUGUUCAGUGGCAGCGUUACGAUCAUUCUUUUUUCUUUUUUUUUUUUUCUUGCGUUUUUUUUCGAAAUUU
Long non-coding RNA from Apis dorsata (giant honeybee), 275 nucleotides. RefSeq lists it as uncharacterized. NCBI's taxonomy places the organism in Eukaryota, Metazoa, Arthropoda, Insecta, Hymenoptera, Apidae. The record is from RefSeq and is a predicted model, not a curated record. The transcript is spliced from 3 exons.